Ostrea edulis (European flat oyster) is the source of this 588-nucleotide long non-coding RNA. RefSeq lists it as uncharacterized. The record is from RefSeq and is a predicted model, not a curated record. The transcript has 2 exons. NCBI's taxonomy places the organism in Eukaryota, Metazoa, Mollusca, Bivalvia, Ostreida, Ostreidae.
AGCACGGAUUACAUUAUCUAUUAUUCUAUAGAUAAGGUUAGGCUUAAAAGUAUUUGCUUCAGAUUCCUGUUAAUAAAACUGGCAUUCCGGUUAUUCUAUGUACCCAUACAACCCGUACACAAAAUAACUGAAUUGACAUCUUAUUAACCGGUCUUAUAGAGUAGUAUUUCCUCCCUCCCGAAAAACUUACUAGUCCACCAUGCAUCCGUACUGCCAUGCAUUUCUGUAAAGCUUCGUUUCAGAGAUCGGUGUCAACAAUGUACAGAAUGUGAUGCAAGAGAUGGUUCGCUGCACAUUAAAACAAAAUAUGAAUAUUGGCAUCAGAUUCAAGGACAACAACACCUGAAAGACACCCAAUGCUGUGAUUUGCUAGUGUGGAUUCCCAGUGACACUCAAAUACAUUGACAAAGAUGUAUUAUGGUCAACUUUUUAAGCGUGAUAGAGUUUAAUUAUAAUAAUAAAGUAUUUUUGCAGUCUGAAUCACACACACAUAACCACAUGUACAUAUACUUUAUUAUGAUAUCAGUGGUGCAUCUGUCAAAGUUAUGUAAUUACAUGUAUAUUUAUUGAAUAAACAUUAUAGACAGA